This 116-nucleotide vault RNA is filed under the name Mytilus galloprovincialis (Mediterranean mussel). It matches the Rfam family "Vault RNA". From Rfam's summary of the family: This family of RNAs are found as part of the enigmatic vault ribonucleoprotein complex. Lineage: Eukaryota; Metazoa; Mollusca; Bivalvia; Mytilida; Mytilidae. The record is from Rfam by way of RNAcentral.
GUGUUGGCUUAGUCAAGUGGUUAAUACUUCGUAUUUGUAAUGGCACAAAAAUUCAUUCCGUUGAAUCUUAACGGGUUCGAUUCCCAUAGAAACCACUGACGCUCUCCAGCAUUUUU